RNAcentral lists this microRNA (22 nucleotides) under Saccoglossus kowalevskii. RNAcentral describes it as "Sko-Mir-252-P1_3p* (star (passenger))". Lineage: Eukaryota; Metazoa; Hemichordata; Enteropneusta; Harrimaniidae. The record is from RNAcentral.
ACCUGCUCUCUACUGCUUAACA